UGUUGCCUAUGAAAGAUAAAAACGGAGCAUCCUGUCAGGGUUCAACACCAGGAAACUGCCUAGCUCAUUCCCUGCCGCUCAGCUCAGCAAGAGUUGCAACAUGCUUUUACUGUAUUCAGAAAGAUAUUUUGUUUUUGUACUUUGCUAUACUGAUAGCGAAGAACUUUAUGUCAUCUUUGCUUUUUGAAAUUCUAAACUUGUGGUUUAAGUAUAAGGGACAAGGAUGGUCCACCCCAGAGGUUGAAUAUGAACUAUCAGACAUCUUUGUUCCAGCCUGAUAAAGACAGAAUCCAAACUUCUGGAGGAACUCAAGAGUGGUCUGAAACACAAAUCCUCAAGCCUUGUUAUGUAUUCGCACGUCCCCUCUGUUGCAAAAAUUAGAAAUAUCAGCUGGAUUAUUCUACUAUUAUAACCUGCUUGGGGUUUUUUGAGCAAACCUCUUGGUCAACGUUCCUCAGUUUUAGCAACUUUACGUUUGCUUCAUGGUUCGACACCCCUCCCCCCCUCCAGGACCAGGGCCUCGCUUCUUCUACAAGCAGCUUCGCGGGUGUGAGAAAGAAACACAGAGGUCACUUACUCCACGGAAGUAUCCUUGUAGCCAAAUCCCUCGGAUGAUUUUCCCGCCUGCGGCAAAUCUUACGCUGGACAAUGGAAUUUCUGAGAUCCAGGAUGGCGGUCGCGGUAAGGGAGAUCACAUUCAGGCCCCAAUUUGCAACCAAGAGACCCCCACACACACACGAUUAUUAAAAUGAACAAUAGUAAAACGUGCGAUAAAAAGUAAGACCUUACGCAGUAAAGGAAACGGAGUCCUUUUACAACUCCCGGAAUCACUGCAUAGCCUUGCAGUUACAUCAAGUAUCUUUUUCACUAACCUUGUGAGUUAUUCCUCCAGGUUUAAUCAGGUAAAGCGCUCCUUUUCACACCAAGAAAACUUUUUCUCCAAAGGAAACCCCAGUCCCGGCGGCUAGAACACACCCUGUGCUUCACCUGAACAACAAAGGACUCUGGGAGCUGUAGUUCUUUUUUUCUGAAGCACCAAAAGGUGCUUUUGCAUUUGCUCUAGGUUCUACACAACUGGAAGGGAAAACUGCUUACAAGCAGAAAAAAGUUUCUUCUGUCCAAAUGAGUAAUCUUCAUCUCCAGUGAGGCCAACCAUUCUAUCAGGAGGCUUCAUCAGCCCAUGGCCUACAACUUCUAAGUGAAUGUUUUUCAAGUUAUUGUAAGUUUAAGAUGUCUGGGCUUCAAACCUUACUAACCAGGGAGUUUGGGGAGUUGAAGUCCACACAUCUUGCCAAGUUUGAAAAAUCGAAGUCAUCAAAAUCAUCUUUUCUCAUAGUGGUCUUCUCUUGUUUAGCGACUUCUUUCCAGUUCCUUGGUAUGUGUAUAAGGACCAGUCAGAAUGGGCAUUGGUCUGGUAUAUAGAGCAAGAGCUGUGGAUCCCAUACAUCAGAGAGGGAGGACAAGAUGGGCUGAGUAUUACAAAUGUUACAUAUAAAUAUUUCUGCUCUUUAUCAUGAGGGGAAAAAAAUAUUUUAAAAUUUAUCUUAACCUUAAAUUUAACUUGAGUGGUUCUUAGCAGAAGAGUAAAAGGUGCACUUUCUAAGACAUUCUCAGAAGAAGAGUUUGAAUUAUGAGAAGUGUUGUAUUGCCUCCUCUAAAAAAGGAGUAAGUAGAUAUCCCCCCCCCUUUUUUUUUCUGUACUAGAUUGCUUACAAAGAAACUCCUUGCAUGCAGUAGUUGCUUUCUCCUGGAAAUGGAUCCAUAUAAAUUAAUUUUGAGCUGAGUUUGAUUCCUGGUACUUUCACAGAAAUAGCUAUGUAGCUUCUUGGCAACAAUAAAGAAUGACUUGCACUGGCCUUCUUUUGGGAUAUUUUUUUUUUUCAAUUUCCCAAUCUAGGGUACUGACAUGGUAUUCCCUGGAAAUCUCCCUGUCAACUCCCAAGUCUGCUUAGAUACUGUCAACCAGGUCAUUAUGAUAAUUAACAUUCUACAGAAUGCCUAUGGCUGUCAUUGCCUAUGAUCUUUAUCUUUAAGAAAGUUUACAGGAGUCAUUUAGGGCAAGAUAAGCUCUGUUUGAAAAUAAAAGCAACACUGGAAUAUAUAGUACAGUCUGUAAACUUCUAUAAAUUUAUUUUUAGUAUAGAAAAUCAGUUGGACCUGGGAAGCUAAAGAAAUAUUGAACAGGUGAUGGAAGCAGAAGACAGGACGGGAGUGGAAAACAGGCCAGGACAGCUGCCUGGAUGAUUUAGCACUCACUGCAGGCAAACGAUUCUCAUCUGGCGAUCCUGCUGAGAUUAGAAGCAAUCAGCAUAAGAACAUAAAUCAUAAGAAUAUUAAAAACCACAGUGACAGCCAAAGUCUUGUCUUAUCCUGCAUUCUGUUUCUAAAGUGAGAACUCAAUAUCUAUGACAAGGCCACCCCCACUUUGCCUCACCAGCAACUGGAUGGUUGAAUGUUUAACCAUUGAUAAAUAUACAUCAAUAUGAUAAAUCUUCAGUCAGUUAAAAAUAAUCAGAUGGUGAGAGUCAGAAAGAGAUAACAUUAAGGA
Molecule: long non-coding RNA, 2548 nt
Organism: Crotalus tigris (Tiger rattlesnake)
Lineage: Eukaryota; Metazoa; Chordata; Lepidosauria; Squamata; Viperidae
Exons: 5
Source: RefSeq, a predicted model, not a curated record